Molecule: regulatory RNA element, 46 nt
Organism: Scardovia inopinata F0304
Lineage: Bacteria; Bacillati; Actinomycetota; Actinomycetes; Bifidobacteriales; Bifidobacteriaceae
Rfam family: L31-Actinobacteria ribosomal protein leader
Source: Rfam
ACGGUUUCCGGUUCACGCCUGCCGCAGGGGUAUGGCGACCCGGACC